This 102-nucleotide non-coding RNA is filed under the name Stenotrophomonas sp. RNAcentral's name for it is "TPP sequence". It matches the Rfam family "TPP riboswitch aptamer (THI element)". Rfam says of the family: Vitamin B(1) in its active form thiamin pyrophosphate (TPP) is an essential coenzyme that is synthesised by coupling of pyrimidine and thiazole moieties in bacteria. The previously detected thiamin-regulatory element, thi box was extended, resulting in a new, highly conserved RNA secondary structure, the THI element, which is widely distributed in eubacteria and also occurs in some archaea. Analysis of operon structures identified a large number of new candidate thiamin-regulated genes, mostly transporters, in various prokaryotic organisms. Lineage: Bacteria; Pseudomonadati; Pseudomonadota; Gammaproteobacteria; Lysobacterales; Lysobacteraceae. The record is from RNAcentral.
GCCCCGAAGCGGGGGUACCGCGGCCCAGUGGCCAAGGUUGAGACAGUCCCUUCGAACCUGAUCCGGUUGAUACCGGCGUAGGGAAGCUUCGCAAUUGCUGAU